RNAcentral lists this ribosomal RNA (253 nucleotides) under uncultured bacterium. RNAcentral's name for it is "partial 16S ribosomal RNA". It matches the Rfam family "Bacterial small subunit ribosomal RNA", at positions 524 to 776 of the family's 1533-position model. The record is from RNAcentral.
UACGUAGGUGGCAAGCGUUAUCCGGAAUUACUGGGCGUAAAGCGCACGCAGGCGGUCUUUUAAGUUUGACGUGAAAGCUCCCGGCUUAACUGGGAGAGGUCGUUGAAGACUGGAAGACUUGAGGCAAUGAGAGGGGUGUAGAAUUCCCGGUGUAGUGGUGGAAUGCGUAGAUAUCGGGGGGAAUACCAGUGGCGAAAGCGACACCCUAGCGUUAGCCUGACGCUCAUGUGCGAAAGCGUGGGGAGCGAACGGG